Pelobates cultripes (western spadefoot toad) is the source of this 277-nucleotide non-coding RNA. The record is from the annotation of a GenBank genome assembly. NCBI's taxonomy places the organism in Eukaryota, Metazoa, Chordata, Amphibia, Anura, Pelobatidae.
AAGCCAGUCAGGUUGCCUGGUGUAAGGGCACCAACUUAGUCUCGGUUAUUUGUGAUAGGUGUGAGGGUGCAGUUGUAAGCUGUCUUCGGUAAUGUAGGGUGCACCAAACCACCAGGGUUGUGUCUAUCAGGGGAUUUCUGUGCGUAGGUCACUGAUCGUCAAGUUACCUAACCACAAUCUAGAGGGGAGUUUGCCUUCUGCCCGCAGAGUUUCCAUGGCUACCCAUUGUUUCAAGGGAUGGCGUAUGUGCCAGUCUACCAGACAGUACAGGUGUGUG